AGCGACUGUGCAGGUUACCGCGGCUGCUGGCACGGAGUUAGCCGGUGCUUCUUCUGUGAGUGAUGUCCUUCCUGCCGGCUAUUAACCCGCAGGCCUUCUUCCUCACUGAAAGUGCUUUACAACCCGAAGGCCUUCUUCACACACGCGGCAUGGCUGGAUCAGGGUUGCCCCCAUUGUCCAAUAUUCCCCACUGCUGCCUCCCGUAGGAGUCUGGGCCGUGUCUCAGUCCCAGUGUGGCUGAUCAUCCUCUCAGACCAGCUACGGAUCGUCGCCUUGGUGAGCCGUUACCUCACCAACCAGCUAAUCCGACAUAGGCUCAUCCGAUAGCGCGAGGCCCGAAGGUCCCCCGCUUUCCCCCGUAGGGCGUAUGCGGUAUUAGCCUGGGUUUCCCCAGGUUAUCCCCCACUACCGGGCAGAUUCCUAUGCAUUACUCACCCGUCCGCCGCUCGCCACCAGGGAGCAAGCUCCCCGUGCUGCCGCUCGACUUGCAUGUGUU
This 496-nucleotide ribosomal RNA is filed under the name uncultured bacterium. RNAcentral describes it as "partial 16S ribosomal RNA". The record is from RNAcentral.